UACGGAGGGUGCGAGCGUUGUCCGGAAUCACUGGGCGUAAAGGGUGCGUAGGUGGUCGGGUAAGUCUGAUGUGAAAUCUCCGAGCUCAACUCGGAAAUGGCAUUGGAUACUAUUCGGCUGGAGGGUUGGAGGGGGGACUGGAAUUCUCGGUGUAGCAGUGAAAUGCGUAGAUAUCGAGAGGAACACCAGUGGCGAAGGCGAGUCCCUGGACAACUCCUGACACUGAGGCACGAAAGCUAGGGGAGCAAACAGG
Molecule: ribosomal RNA, 253 nt
Filed under: uncultured bacterium
Lineage: Bacteria
Description: partial 16S ribosomal RNA
Rfam family: Bacterial small subunit ribosomal RNA
Source: RNAcentral